UACCCGCUGAACUUAAGCAUAUCAAUAAGCGGAGGAAAAGAAACCAACAGGGAUUACCUCAGUAACGGCGAGUGAAGCGGUAAAAGCUCAAAUUUGAAAUCUUCGGAAUUGUAAUUUGAUGGAUAAAAUUGCCAAGGACAAAAGUUCACUGGAAAGUGACGCCGUAGAGGGUGAUAGCCCCGUUUACGUCCACCGGCACUAUNAUUUUAUUCCAAAGAGUCGGGUUGUUUGGGAAUGCAGCUCAAAGUGGGUGGUAAAUUCCAUCUAAAGCUAAAUAUUGACGAGAGACCGAUAGCGAACAAGUACAGUGAUGGAAAGAUGAAAAGAACUUUGAAAAGAGAGUGAAACAGUACGUGAAAUUGUUGAAAGGGAAGGGGAGGGAAGAUGUUAAAGGGACUCCUUUCUUAGCAAGGGAUCCCCCUAAAGAGUCUUUCCUCUCGCCCGUCUUGAAACACGGACCAAGGAGUCUAACGAUUAUGCAAGUAUUUGAGUCAACCCCCAAAUGCGUAAUGAAAGUAAUUGGUCAACCCUACCCUCCUGUCCUAAAGGGCGGGAGAGGAAGCAUAAUUAUUAGGACCCGAAAGAUGGUGAACUAUACCUGGAUAGGGUGAAGCCAGAGGAAACUCUGGUGGAAGCUCGUAGCGGUUCUGACGUGCAAAUCG
This 662-nucleotide ribosomal RNA is filed under the name Metschnikowia matae var. matae. RNAcentral's name for it is "partial large subunit ribosomal RNA". It matches the Rfam family "Eukaryotic large subunit ribosomal RNA", at positions 22 to 900 of the family's 3401-position model. The record is from RNAcentral. Lineage: Eukaryota; Fungi; Ascomycota; Pichiomycetes; Serinales; Metschnikowiaceae.